Molecule: long non-coding RNA, 589 nt
Filed under: Heterocephalus glaber (naked mole-rat)
Lineage: Eukaryota; Metazoa; Chordata; Mammalia; Rodentia; Bathyergidae
Description: lncRNA (ENSHGLG00000050865.1)
Source: RNAcentral
GGGUGAUGAAUCAAAGUGGCAGCGAAGCCUGAGAGCACACAGCCCACCAGGAAGAAACCACACCUCCAGGUCGGCCAGGCCGGCGUCCGCGUGGAUCGAAAGUGACCCGGAGCCAAGGUCAGUGGGCCACAUCCAAGUCCUCCCAGAGGGAAACAAGGCUCUGACUGCGGCGCCCAGCGAGGCCUCCAGCAUCGCUCCAGACACCAGGCAGGUCCAGUGCCCAGCUAGCCCAGUCACCAACUGAUAAAAUGAUGGCUCCGAAACUCCCCGCUGACAUGUUUUCCUGCAGAUGGUUCGAGGGAGGACAUGGAGGCAGCCACCUAGCUCAGCGCAGCCGCGGAGCCCACAGCAGCGCCCUCCCGAGUCCCGAGGCCGCUGCUGCCCACGUCCGCGCCCGGACACUGCCGCCCAGCUCCGCCGUCCGCGGGACACACGGCCCGGACCCGGCGGCUCGGGGCGCUUCGGGGCUGAGCUCCGGAGCCCAGGUCCGCGCGCGGUUCGUCGGGACCCGGACGCUGCGCUGGGGCCGUGCGGCGGAGACCCGCAGGGCCAUCCCGGAUGCGGACGCUCAACUUGGAGCAACUUUAAG